This 465-nucleotide ribosomal RNA is filed under the name uncultured Klebsiella sp. RNAcentral's name for it is "bacterial SSU rRNA". It matches the Rfam family "Bacterial small subunit ribosomal RNA", at positions 338 to 795 of the family's 1533-position model. The record is from RNAcentral. Lineage: Bacteria; Pseudomonadati; Pseudomonadota; Gammaproteobacteria; Enterobacterales; Enterobacteriaceae.
CCUACGGGAGGCAGCAGUGGGGAAUAUUGCACAAUGGGCGCAAGCCUGAUGCAGCCAUGCCGCGUGUGUGAAGAAGGCCUUCGGGUUGUAAAGCACUUUCAGCGGGGAGGAAGGCGGUGAGGUUAAUAACCUCAUCGAUUGACGUUACCCGCAGAAGAAGCACCGGCUAGCUCCGUGCCAGCAGCCGCGGUAAUACGGAGGGUGCAAGCGUUAAUCGAAAUUACUGGGCGUAAAGCGCACGCAGGCGGUCUGUCAAGUCGGAUGUGAAAUCCCCGGGCUCAACCUGGGAACUGCAUUCGAAACUGGCAGGCUAGAGUCUUGUAGAGGGGGGUAGAAUUCCAGGUGUAGCGGUGAAAUGCGUAGAGAUCUGGAGGAAUACCGGUGGCGAAGGCGGCCCCCUGGACAAAGACUGACGCUCAGGUGCGAAAGCGUGGGGAGCAAACAGGAUUAGAUACCCCUGUAGUC